RNAcentral lists this transfer RNA (87 nucleotides) under bacterium. RNAcentral's name for it is "tRNA-Ser". It matches the Rfam family "tRNA". Rfam says of the family: Transfer RNA (tRNA) molecules are approximately 80 nucleotides in length. Their secondary structure includes four short double-helical elements and three loops (D, anti-codon, and T loops). The record is from RNAcentral.
GGAGGAGUGGCUGAGCGACCGAAAGCAGCACACUGCUAAUGUGCUGAACGGGAAACCGUUCCGCAGGUUCGAAUCCUGCCGCCUCCG